AUGUCGAAGGUUAGGCUGACUUUAGUCUCUGAAAUUAUCAUGCAGUUGGUCCAGGGUAUAGGAACACACAUCAGCAGGACCCCAGUUGUCUUGGGAACAGGCAGCAGCCUGCCUUUCCAUCUUUCCUACAAAUUCCGACUACUGUUGCUCUUCACUGUGUGCCUGAGGAGGUGGUUGAUUGGGCCACCAGUAACUACUUUGUGGAUGCUAUUCAAGAGAUCCCCAAGGCAAAGAAUUUCAUAGCUAAUUUCAACAAGGUCAUGGCUUUGGGGAAGAAGGAAGCUUUGACCAGCGAUGCAACCAUGACAAAGGCAGAGCUUGACAAGUGCCCUUCUGUGUCUCCAAAGCUCAGAGGCCAGACUAAGCUGAUUUUCAAGCCAGACCUCACCUGAAAGGAAGUACAAGCUCCAAACCCCAAGGUGUCCAGAGGCCGGUGUCACCCUGAGCUAUGUAAGGCUCUACAACGGGUGGCCAUCCUCAUCCCACACCAGAAUGGAGAGAAGCACCUGAUGUACUUGCUGGAACAUCUACACCCCUUCCUGCAGAGGCAGCAGCUGGACUAUGGCAUCAACAUCAUCCACCAGGUUGGAACUAAAAAUUUUAAUUGAGCCAAACUCCUGAAUGUGAGCUAUGUAGAAGCUCUUAAGGAGGAAAACAGGGACUGCUUUAUAUUCUACGAUGUGGACCUGGUGCCCAAGAACAACUUCAACCUUUACACGUGUGAUGAUCAUCCCAAGCACCUGGUGGUUGGUAAGACCAGCACCAGGUACAGGUUACAUUACAAUGGAUAUUUUGGGGGUAUUACUUCCCUUAGCAGAGAGCGAUUUUUCAAAGUGAAUGGAUUCUCUAACAACUACUGGGGAUGGGGAGGUGAAGACAAUGACCUCAGACUCAGGGUUGAGCUCCAUAAGAAAAUAUUCCGGCCUAAGCCUGAUGUGGGUAAAUAUACCAUGAUCUUCCAUACCAGAGACAGAGGGAAUGAGAUGAAUGUGGACCAGAUGAAGCUCUUACACCAAGUGUCACGAGUCUGGAAAACAGAUGGCUUGAAAAGUUGUUCUUACAGAUUACUGUCUGUGGAGUACAAUCCUCUAUAUGCCAACAUCACAGUGGAUUUCUGGACUGGUGCAUGACCCUGGAU
RNA transcript from Nannospalax galili (Upper Galilee mountains blind mole rat), 1138 nucleotides. It is a transcript of the gene named beta-1,4-galactosyltransferase 4 pseudogene, with no coding region annotated. The record is from RefSeq and is a predicted model, not a curated record. Lineage: Eukaryota; Metazoa; Chordata; Mammalia; Rodentia; Spalacidae. The transcript is spliced from 2 exons.